Molecule: long non-coding RNA, 3601 nt
Organism: Harpia harpyja (harpy eagle)
Lineage: Eukaryota; Metazoa; Chordata; Aves; Accipitriformes; Accipitridae
Exons: 3
Source: RefSeq, a predicted model, not a curated record
UAGUGUCAUAGCCAGAGCCAGAUGAUGUUUAUUCUGCUAACAUCCAGUCGGUCUCCGGCAGCGCUCAUUGAGGUCAGGGCUUUAUUUAUAGAAGCAGAUAUACAUUGAGAUUCGUUUUCUUUCCCUUGCUGUAAUCUACCUAAGCUCAUACAAAAUAGAAAGAAGCAUGCAGACAUGCAAGUAAUGUACUAAUUGGGCCAGAUCCAUGAAUUAGCACAGCACCAUAGAAGCCAAUGGAAAAAAGCAUUUUAGAGCAGCUGAGGAUCUUGUCUAUUAUUUCUCACAGGGAAGGGAAGGGAGGGGUUUAAAACCUGAAAUUAUAAAGCAAAAAGCAAAACCAACCAAGCAACAAAAUGUCCUGGUAUGUGGCAGAACAGGUCUGCAAUACAAAAUCCCUCCACCGAGAUCUGCAAUUUGAAGUAUUUAUUUUUUUCUCCUGUGUUCCCAAUCACUGUAAAGUGCAAGAAUCAGAGUGCAGAGCUCCAAGCAAGGAAAAGUAACAAGACUUAAAGCAAUUUACCUGCUGAAAGUGAGAAGACAUUGUCAACGUACGCAGUCUGAGAUAAAGCAAAGCAGAAGAAAAGCUGCAGUAUUUGGCUAUUUUUAGUGAAGAUAGUAGUUUGGCCACUUCCUUCUUUGACCAAGGUGACCAUGGAUUAAGUAAGUGCCAUUAGUUCUCUCGGCAUGCUGCAUCUCAGAGGGAAAGGCAUAGCUCCUGCAAAGUUUAUCAUGACAAGCCCUAAGUAUGUAAGGUAAAUGUCCAGCUGCCCUAUUGUAAAGGUAAGCAGUGGACAAUCCCCAUGCCAGAAGCCUGCAUGGAUGCUGGAAAAAAUUGCUCAGAAGUUAAAAUGCCAAGAUUUUACCAAAAGAUUCACCUCUGAAAAUGUUUGACCAACUCAAUAGUCAGUGAAAGCAACAAUUGAGUAAUUUCAAAUCUUCCUGAAAUCCUCCUGUAGUCUUUUAGCAAUAGAAAAUUUGGUAGAAAUUUGUAGUAAAAAACAUGUUCCAUUUGAUAAGGAAAUUAAUUAAUCCAAUAAUACUGCAAAGAACUAAGAUCAUGCAGUAGGACCCAUAUCUUUCCCCUCCUCCAUCACCCCCUUACCAAUUUUAGUUCUUGGUUCUUUGGCCUGGAACAGAAAUGCAUGUUUGGGUAAAAAUGCAACACAGCAAGGAAUAUACCUUUUCCUCGCAAGAGCAAGUGCAAUAUUGGAGGUGGCCAGAAGUGAUACAGAAAGCCAGGGCUACUUCAGAGUUAAAAAAAACACAUAUAGUUAGCUUUACACUCAAUUCUUAGGUAGAGAUUUUUUUAUCCACUUUUUUCAGUGGAGAACCCCAAUUAAAAAUGGAUGUUUUGUCAACAUUCUCCUUUCUUUAGACAUAGCAUCUCCAUCACUCUGAAGUCUGAGCCUGUUUGACCUGAACUGGCUCUCAGCCAACAUGAAAGGAAAGCUCUGUAGGCAAAUGCUCUGCAGUGGAAAAUGAACCACCUUCCACAAAAGUCUCAAAAGGAGAUGUUUGGACUUGUAUUUGAAGAGACCGCUUCUCAUGAUGUAGCAGUAGUUCAUCAACGUGUUAAAUUUUUAGUGGGACCACCAUUAGGUCAACACAAAGGAGGGCUCUCAUUACAAGGCAGCAAGCCAGGGCAUGUCAAGGUGCAAGCACUGGGUUUUGUUUCCACCAAUUUUAAGGUAUUAGCCUUAACAGCUGAAACUGCUGGCAAGGUUGCUAAUGCUUUCAGUGGGAAAAGAAUGAAGUCCUUUGGAAAUAAAAUGGACAAUAGCUGUGGGCUUUUUGCUUUCGACUUAGAUGACAGUGCACAAGACUGACACUCCAUGCUAACUGGCACUCCAUGCUAGAUGACAAGGAUGAACACCUGGUCACACAGCUUGUUUCUGACCUCCGAGGCAUCAGUACACAUGGUAGAGACAAUCCUGAGGAGGGGGAGCGUCACGUAGCAGAGUGAGUCUUACGCGGUGCGAGAAACUUGACAGACGUGUGGUUUCUAGGCCCCUGAGCUGUCUAUCAUCUGUGAACUUGCUCAGUCAAGCAGUGCAUUCCUCCAGAAAUUCCCAGGGGCUCGUGAAGCCAAUGGAAAGCUUUGGCUCCCUUCAGAGAGCUCUGCACCAGGUAGUUAAGGCCAACGCUCUGAGAUUACAAGUAAGUCCUUGUCUCUAUCAUCCAAACAGCAAUCAGUAACAAAGGAUUUUUUUCUUUUUUCGGUAUUCACUGCAGCUGCUGUUGCUGGUGUAGUGAAAACCCACAUUAAUAUGACUUCACAGUGCAACUGCUGGAGAAGAUCCCAUAAAUAUUUGGGAAUAAAAAAACUUAAAAUUUUUGGAGGAAUAAAUAAAAAAAAAUCUUAAAAUUUUAAUAUGAAAUUAUGCAGUUGCUAGAAACUGAAGUAAUAUAUAUGGCACAAUUCCUACUCUUGUCUCACCUAGAAUUGCUACUCUGAUACCAGGAGUAGUGUUCAUCAAAUGGAAAUACAAUGGCUUCGGCAGAAUUUCUAUUUCAGACUACAUUAGCUUAAGAAAGAAACACAGCAAGGUUUUCACACUGAGUCUUGUAAGAUACCCAAAUGGCCUAAGUGAGAACAAGGGGUUUUGAGGACUUGACUUUUAAAAAUUGUUCCACAGUGAGAACCCCAGAACCCCAAAGGUCAUCUGCAGUUUAGUGUUCAAAGAUAAAGACCCCCACAGUUUUAUCACAGGGCAUCAACUGCAGUUUAAAAAAAAUCCUAUUUUGAGUAGAUGCCAUAGCAACUAAAAAUGUCAAAAGCCAACCAACACAUAAUGAAAAAAAAAAUCUGCACAUUUACCUGCUCAAGUAGCUGUUGCUUGACCUUUUCAACCCAGACCAACUAUGUAAAUAGAAUUUAUUAACCUUGUCUAUGCAAGAAUUAAUGAAUACUUGUUAAAAGAAGGCUUCUUCCCAGUCCUAUCCAUUUCUGGUUGGUAGGUACUUCAUCAACAAGCCAAGGGAAAAUGAAUGUAGUUAAAUUAUCAUCAAUCUCAAGGUCCUGUAUGAACACAGUUCUAGUUAGAAGGACAAAGAUAACCAUAGACUCACAGAAUAGUCUGGGUUGGAAAGGGACCUUUAAACGUUAUCUAGUCCAACAGCCCCCUGCAGUGAGCAGGAACAUCUUCAACUAGAUCAGGUCGCUCAGAGCCCCGUCCAACCUGACCUUGAAUGUUUCCAGGCAUGGGGCAUCCACCACCUCUCUGGGCAACCUGUUCCACUGUUUCACCACCCUCUGUCAUGGUUUAACCCCAAACAGCAACUAUGACCCACGCAGCCGCUGGCUCAUCUCCCUCAUAGUGGGAUGGGGGGCAGAAUCAGAAGGGUAAAAGCAAGAAAGGCUCGUGGGCUGAGAUCUGACAGUUUAAUAGGUAAAGCAAAAACCGCGCAUGCAAGCAAAGCAAAACAAGGGAUUCACUGGCAGGCAGGUGUUCAGCCAUCUCCAGGAAAGCAGGGCUCCAUCACGUGUAAUGGUUACUUGGGAAGACAAACACCAUCACUCUGAACAUUCCCCUCUUCCUUCUUCUUCCCCCAGCUUUAUAUGCUGAGCAUGACGCCAUACGGUCUGGGAUAUCCCUGUGGU